GCGCGCUAAACCGACAUGCGGGCCUCCGGUAAGGGCAAACCAGACAAACCGACACUUUUGGAGCCCCGAGUCCGAUUAAAUCGUAUUUUUAUUUCGUACGGAGAAGGUGAUGAAGGAGAAAUCAUCAUCAUCGGUUCCUUUCUGAAUCGUACGACGCCUCCUGCUCCCUGUUGCAUUGCAUGCCGCUUGGUCUGCUCUUCCCCCCUCCGAGGAGAAGGGACUCUCGAGUGGGUGGACCGUCGGCGUCGUUCCUCCUGCGACGGUGGUGGAAUGGAUGAGCCGGCCAGGAUUUCGUCGCCGUACAGGCGCCGGCGUGAUUUGGAGGCCGGAGGUGGACGCCCCGAGGGGAACGAGUCCUCCGAUGAUCCGUUCGACAUCACCAGCACUAAACACGCCGCCAUCGGUCGUCUCAGGCGAUGGAGGCAAGCUGCACUUGUGUUGAACGCCUCUCGUCGAUUUAGAUACACCCUUGACUUGAAGAAGGAAGAACAGGUGAAGAUAUCAUUGCAGAAAAUUAGAGCUAUCACUCAGGCCAUGCGCGCUGCACAGAUUUUCCAAGCACAAAGUCAACAAGCUAAUGGAAUCUCAAAAAGGCCCAUCCCAAGUGGUGAUUUUGGGAUCAGUCAGGAGCAACUUGCUUUGAUGACCAGAGACCGUGAUGUUUCUACUCUGGGAGAGUAUGGAGGGGUCAAAGGACUAGUGGAGCUCUUGAAGACAAAUUUGGAGAAGGGUAUUCACGGAGAUGAUGCUGAUUUUUUGGCUCGACAGAACACAUAUGGAUCAAAUACAUAUCCUCGGAAAAAAGGAAGGAGUUUUUGGAUGUUCCUUUGGGAAGCCUGGCAAGAUCUUACUUUGAUCAUACUGAUAAUAGCUGCAGUGGCUUCUUUGGUACUUGGAAUAAAGUCGGAGGGCAUUAAGGAAGGAUGGUAUGAUGGUGGGAGCAUUGCUUUUGCUGUUAUUCUCGUCAUUGUUGUCACAGCAAUAAGUGAUUACAGACAGUCUCUGCAGUUUCAAAACUUAAAUGAGGAGAAAAGAAAUAUACACUUGGAGGUUGUCAGAGGUGGCAGAAGAGUGGAAGUUUCAAUAUAUGAUGUCGUUGUUGGUGAUGUUGUCCCCCUUAAUAUUGGUGAUCAGGUUCCUGCAGAUGGAGUCUUGAUUUCUGGUCACUCCCUGGCGAUUGAUGAAUCUAGCAUGACUGGAGAGAGCAAAAUUGUUCACAAGGAUGCAAGGGAUCCCUUUCUGAUGUCUGGCUGCAAAGUUGCAGAUGGCCACGGCACUAUGCUUGUGACGAGUGUGGGGAUUAAUACAGAGUGGGGUUUGCUCAUGGCCAGUAUUUCGGAAGAUACUGGGGAAGAGACACCCCUGCAGGUUCGGUUGAAUGGGGUUGCUACAUUCAUUGGUGUAGUUGGACUGUCUGUAGCUGUUGCUGUUUUGGUGGUUCUUUUGGCAAGAUUUUUUACUGGCCAUACGAAAAAUUCAAAUGGCACUGUUCAGUUUAAGGCUGGUCAGACUAGUGUUAGCGAUGCUGUAGAUGGAGCGGUCAAAAUAAUUACUGUAGCAGUUACCAUUGUGGUAGUUGCAGUACCUGAAGGGCUCCCUUUAGCUGUUACACUGACACUUGCUUACUCAAUGAGAAAAAUGAUGGCGGACAAAGCUUUGGUGCGAAGGCUUUCUGCAUGUGAGACUAUGGGUUCUGCCACAACUAUAUGUAGUGAUAAAACUGGAACCUUGACUUUAAAUCAGAUGACUGUGGUUGUGGCUUAUGCUCGUGGAAGAAAGGUUGAUCCUCCAGACAGCAACUCACAGUUAUCUACUUGUCUGAUUUCUCUGUUGAUUGAAGGCAUUGCUCAGAAUUCAAAUGGCAGUGUUUAUGUGCCUGAGGCUGGGGGAGAUGCAGAGGUGUCCGGUUCACCAACUGAAAAGGCCAUUUUACAGUGGGGGAUCAAGCUGGGGAUGGAUUUUGAAGCUAUUAGGUCAAGAUCCUCUAUAAUUCAAGUUUUCCCUUUCAAUUCUGAGAAAAAACGAGGCGGAGUUGCUGUAAAGCUGCCAGACUCAGAAGUUCACAUCCACUGGAAAGGAGCUGCUGAAAUAGUUUUGGCUUCUUGUACAAAGUUCAUGGAUCCAAAUGAUCAAGUGGUAGCAAUGGAUGAAGAAAAGAUGAUGUACUUUAGAAAGGCUAUUGAAGAUAUGGCUGCUGGUAGUCUACGCUGUGUUGCCAUUGCUUAUAGACCCUAUGACAUAAAAGACAUUCCUCUAGAUGAAGAACAGUUAACCAAAUGGGCAUUACCUGAGGAGGAGCUUAUUUUACUGGCUAUUGUAGGCAUAAAGGAUCCUUGUCGUCCUGGAGUGAAAGAUGCGGUGAAACUAUGCCAAAAUGCUGGAGUUAAGGUACGAAUGGUUACUGGCGACAAUCUCCAAACUGCCAAAGCAAUUGCUUUGGAAUGCGGGAUACUAGAUCCAAAGGCAGAUGCUACUGCGCCAAACCUUAUUGAAGGAAAAGCUUUUCGUUCCUUAACUGAUGCGCAAAGAGAAGAAGCUGCCGAGAAGAUAUCAGUUAUGGGAAGAUCAUCUCCUAAUGACAAACUUCUGCUUGUUCAAGCGUUGAGAAAGCGAGGACAUGUUGUAGCUGUAACUGGGGAUGGCACUAAUGAUGCUCCUGCCUUACACGAGGCAGAUAUUGGCCUCGCAAUGGGUAUUCAAGGGACAGAAGUUGCGAAAGAGAGUUCGGACAUUAUAAUUUUGGAUGACAAUUUUGCUUCUGUUGUUAAGGUCGUCAGGUGGGGAAGAUCUGUGUAUGCAAAUAUUCAAAAAUUUAUCCAGUUUCAGCUCACAGUUAAUGUUGCAGCUCUUAUCAUAAACGUUGUUGCUGCUGUUUCCUCUGGUGAUGUUCCACUGAAUGCAGUGCAGCUUCUCUGGGUUAAUCUUAUCAUGGACACCCUUGGAGCAUUAGCACUGGCUACCGAGCCUCCGACUGACCACCUAAUGCAUAGGUCUCCAGUCGGUAGGAGAGAACCUCUUAUUACAAAUAUCAUGUGGAGGAAUUUAUUGAUACAGGCUGCCUAUCAAGUGAGUGUCCUGCUUGUCCUCAAUUUCCAAGGUAGAAGCUUACUGAAUUUGGAGAAUGAUACCCGCGAUCAUGCUAACAAAGUGAAGAAUACACUGAUCUUCAACGCUUUCGUCUUUUGCCAAAUAUUCAACGAAUUUAAUGCCCGGAAACCAGAUGAGUUUAAUGUGUUUAAGGGACUUACGAAGAAUCGUCUCUUCAUGGGGAUAGUAGGACUGACUCUUAUACUUCAGAUCAUUAUCAUAGAGUUUCUCGGGAAGUUUACUUCAACAGUGAGACUUAAUUGGAAGCAGUGGAUCAUAUCCAUUAUCAUUGCUUUUAUCAGUUGGCCUCUGGCCGUUGUCGGAAAGCUAAUACCUGUCCCCAGAACUCCGAUUCAUGUGUAUAUUGCAAGGUUAUUCUGUCGACGACGAUGAAGUCGUGGAAGUGAACCGAGUGAAUCUUGAAUAAGCUUGGGACCGUGUGUGUCUAGUUUACAGGACGGCAUGAUAGAUUUGGAUCAAAAGUUCAAUGUGGUGAAAUGAAGGUUGCUACUGAUAUCUCUCUGUAAUUGCAAGAUUUGGAUUAGAAGUUGAAUGUGGUGAAAUGAAGGUUGCUACUGAUAUCUGUGUAAAUGCAAGAUUUGGAUUAAAAGUUGAAUAUGGUGAAAGAAGGUUGCUACUGA
This is an RNA transcript of Syzygium oleosum, 3728 nucleotides long. It is a transcript of the gene named calcium-transporting ATPase 8, plasma membrane-type-like, with no coding region annotated. The transcript is spliced from 36 exons. Lineage: Eukaryota; Viridiplantae; Streptophyta; Magnoliopsida; Myrtales; Myrtaceae. The record is from RefSeq and is a predicted model, not a curated record.